GGGGAUUUAGCUCAGUGGUAGAGCGCUUGCCUAGGAAGCGCAAGGCCCUGGGUUCGAUCCCCAGCUCUG
Non-coding RNA from Rattus norvegicus (Norway rat), 69 nucleotides. The record is from Rfam. NCBI's taxonomy places the organism in Eukaryota, Metazoa, Chordata, Mammalia, Rodentia, Muridae.